CGACAGGCUUAACACAUGCAAGUCGAGGGGCAGCACAGGUAGCAAUACCGGGUGGCGACCGGCGCACGGGUGAGUAACGCGUAUGCAACUUACCUAUCAGAGGGGGAUAACCCGGCGAAAGUCGGACUAAUACCGCAUGAAGCAGGGGCCCCACAUGGGGAUAUUUGCUAAAGAUUCAUCGCUGAUAGAUAGGCAUGCGUUCCAUUAGGCAGUUGGCGGGGUAACGGCCCACCAAACCGACGAUGGAUAGGGGUUCUGAGAGGAAGGUCCCCCACAUUGGUACUGAGACACGGACCAAACUCCUACGGGAGGCAGCAGUGAGGAAUAUUGGUCAAUGGCCGAGAGGCUGAACCAGCCAAGUCGCGUGAGGGAUGAAGGUUCUAUGGGUCGUAAACCUCUUUUAUAAGGGAAUAAAGUGCGGGACGUGUCCCGUUUUGUAUGUACCUUAUGAAUAAGGAUCGGCUAACUCCGUGCCAGCAGCCGCGGUAAUACGGAGGAUCCGAGCGUUAUCCGGAUUUAUUGGGUUUAAAGGGUGCGUAGGCGGCCUUUUAAGUCAGCGGUGAAAGUCUGUGGCUCAACCAUAGAAUUGCCGUUGAAACUGGGGGGCUUGAGUAUGUUUGAGGCAGGCGGAAUGCGUGGUGUAGCGGUGAAAUGCAUAGAUAUCACGCAGAACCCCGAUUGCGAAGGCAGCCUGCCAAGCCAUUACUGACGCUGAUGCACGAAAGCGUGGGGAUCAAACAGGAUUAGAUACCCUGGUAGUCCACGCAGUAAACGAUGAUCACUAGCUGUUUGCGAUACACUGUAAGCGGCACAGCGAAAGCGUUAAGUGAUCCACCUGGGGAGUACGCCGGCAACGGUGAAACUCAAAGGAAUUGACGGGGGCCCGCACAAGCGGAGGAACAUGUGGUUUAAUUCGAUGAUACGCGAGGAACCUUACCCGGGUUUGAACGCAUUCGGACCGAGGUGGAAACACCUUUUCUAGCAAUAGCCGUUUGCGAGGUGCUGCAUGGUUGUCGUCAGCUCGUGCCGUGAGGUGUCGGCUUAAGUGCCAUAACGAGCGCAACCCUUGCCACUAGUUACUAACAGGUAGAGCUGAGGACUCUGGUGGGACUGCCAGCGUAAGCUGCGAGGAAGGCGGGGAUGACGUCAAAUCAGCACGGCCCUUACAUCCGGGGCGACACACGUGUUACAAUGGCGUGGACAAAGGGAAGCCACCUGGCGACAGGGAGCGAAUCCCCAAACCACGUCUCAGUUCGGAUCGGAGUCUGCAACCCGACUCCGUGAAGCUGGAUUCGCUAGUAAUCGCGCAUCAGCCAUGGCGCGGUGAAUACGUUCCCGGGCCUUGUACACACCGCCCGUCAAGCCAUGGGAGCCGGGGGUACCUGAAGUCCGUAACCGCGAGGAUCGGCCUAGGGUAAAACUGGUGACUGGGGCUAAGUCG
RNAcentral lists this ribosomal RNA (1441 nucleotides) under uncultured organism. RNAcentral's name for it is "SSU rRNA". It matches the Rfam family "Bacterial small subunit ribosomal RNA". The record is from RNAcentral.